AGUCUGCAACUCGACUACAUGAAGCUGGAAUCGCUAGUAAUCGCGGAUCAGAAUGCCGCGGUGAAUACGUUCCCGGGUCUUGUACACACCGCCCGUCACACCAUGGGAGUCGGAAAUGCCCGAAGUCUGUGACCGAACCGAAAGGAAGGAGCAGCCGAAGGCAGGUCGGAUGACUGGGGUGAAGUCGUAACAAGGUACC
This 199-nucleotide ribosomal RNA is filed under the name uncultured bacterium. RNAcentral's name for it is "partial 16S ribosomal RNA". It matches the Rfam family "Bacterial small subunit ribosomal RNA", at positions 1302 to 1500 of the family's 1533-position model. The record is from RNAcentral.